This 99-nucleotide signal recognition particle RNA is filed under the name Anaerolineaceae bacterium. RNAcentral describes it as "signal recognition particle sRNA small type". It matches the Rfam family "Bacterial small signal recognition particle RNA". From Rfam's summary of the family: The signal recognition particle (SRP) is a universally conserved ribonucleoprotein involved in the co-translational targeting of proteins to membranes. Archaeal SRP consists of a 7S RNA and homologues of the eukaryotic SRP19 and SRP54 proteins. In most bacteria, the SRP consists of a 4.5S RNA and the Ffh protein (a homologue of the eukaryotic SRP54 protein). RNAcentral also lists the same sequence under 1 other name. Lineage: Bacteria; Bacillati; Chloroflexota; Anaerolineae; Anaerolineales; Anaerolineaceae. The record is from RNAcentral.
GGGCGGGUCCGGCGCGGCGGAAAUCUCCAAACCCCGUCAGGUCCGAGAGGAAGCAGCGGUAAGGGGUCCCUUCCGGGUGCCGCCGGGAACCCUGCCCGG